This 73-nucleotide transfer RNA is filed under the name Salinivirgaceae bacterium. RNAcentral's name for it is "tRNA-Lys". It matches the Rfam family "tRNA". Rfam says of the family: Transfer RNA (tRNA) molecules are approximately 80 nucleotides in length. The record is from RNAcentral. Lineage: Bacteria; Pseudomonadati; Bacteroidota; Bacteroidia; Bacteroidales; Salinivirgaceae.
GGAUUCGUAGCUCAGUUGGUAGAGCAGCAGACUCUUAAUCUGCGGGUCGUGGGUUCGACCCCCACCGGAUUCA